This 950-nucleotide ribosomal RNA is filed under the name Chryseobacterium indologenes. RNAcentral describes it as "bacterial SSU rRNA". It matches the Rfam family "Bacterial small subunit ribosomal RNA", at positions 36 to 990 of the family's 1533-position model. Lineage: Bacteria; Pseudomonadati; Bacteroidota; Flavobacteriia; Flavobacteriales; Weeksellaceae. The record is from RNAcentral.
GUGGCUCGGGGGCUACACAUGCAAGCCGAGCGGUAUAGAUCUUUCGGGAUCUAGAGAGCGGCGUACGGGUGCGGAACACGUGUGCAACCUGCCUUUAUCUGGGGGAUAGCCUUUCGAAAGGGAGAUUAAUACCCCAUAAUAUAUCAGAUGGCAUCAUUUGAUAUUGAAAACUCCGGUGGAUAGAGAUGGGCACGCGCAAGAUUAGAUAGUUGGUGAGGUAACGGCUCACCAAGUCUACGAUCUUUAGGGGGCCUGAGAGGGUGAUCCCCCACACUGGUACUGAGACACGGACCAGACUCCUACGGGAGGCAGCAGUGAGGAAUAUUGGACAAUGGGUGAGAGCCUGAUCCAGCCAUCCCGCGUGAAGGACGACGGCCCUAUGGGUUGUAAACUUCUUUUGUAUAGGGAUAAACCUACCCUCGUGAGGGUAGCUGAAGGUACUAUACGAAUAAGCACCGGCUAACUCCGUGCCAGCAGCCGCGGUAAUACGGAGGGUGCAAGCGUUAUCCGGAUUUAUUGGGUUUAAAGGGUCCGUAGGCGGAUGUGUAAGUCAGUGGUGAAAUCUCACAGCUUAACUGUGAAACUGCCAUUGAUACUGCAUGUCUUGAGUGUUGUUGAAGUAGCUGGAAUAAGUAGUGUAGCGGUGAAAUGCAUAGAUAUUACUUAGAACACCAAUUGCGAAGGCAGGUUACUAAGCAACAACUGACGCUGAUGGACGAAAGCGUGGGGAGCGAACAGGAUUAGAUACCCUGGUAGUCCACGCCGUAAACGAUGCUAACUCGUUUUUGGGCUUUCGGGUUCAGAGACUAAGCGAAAGUGAUAAGUUAGCCACCUGGGGAGUACGUUCGCAAGAAUGAAACUCCAAGGAAUUGACGGGGGCCCGCACAAGCGGUGGAUUAUGUGGUUUAAUUCGAUGAUACGCGAGGAACCUUACCAAGGCUUAAAUGGGA